Small nuclear RNA from Liolophura sinensis, 162 nucleotides. RefSeq annotates it as U1 spliceosomal RNA. The transcript has a single exon. The record is from RefSeq and is a predicted model, not a curated record. NCBI's taxonomy places the organism in Eukaryota, Metazoa, Mollusca, Polyplacophora, Chitonida, Chitonidae.
AUACUUACCUGGCACAGGGGAUACCGUGAUCACGAAGGCGGUUCCCCCAGGUCGAGGCCUUCCCAUUGCACUUCGGUGGGCUGACGCUUGCGAUCACCCCAAAUGUGGGUGACUCGGGUGCGUAAUUUUUACUCAGGGGGACUGCGUUCGCGCUAUCCCCUA